This is a long non-coding RNA of Astatotilapia calliptera (eastern happy), 1062 nucleotides long. The record is from Ensembl. Lineage: Eukaryota; Metazoa; Chordata; Actinopteri; Cichliformes; Cichlidae.
AGUCACAGGAGCCCCAGUUUCAUUGUGUUUGGCAGUGUAGAGAGAUCAAAAUAUUGUGUGGAGAGAUCAGAGUGAUGUCAGAACAAAGUUAACUAGGUUUACACACAAAGAAACCCAUAUGGAAAAGAAAAAACUUAUAAAAGACUUGCAUAAGAUGUGGCCUACUUCAUAUAGUGAAUCAUAUAAGGCUUAUAUGAUUUACUCAUGAAAGUGGCCACUUUCUCAUUACUUUCAUAUAUUGUUUUAGGAAGUAUCCAAAACAUAAGUUUCAUUUAUAUAAUUUUUCAAGGGAUUUUAUAUCUGUUUUCACUCUUGUAUGCUUUUCAUACAAGUUUCACACAAGACGGAUACAAACUUUGUAAGAUUUAUAUAUAUCUUUUCCAUAUGGGAAGCACUCAUAGAAAAAUCAAGAAACAUUAAUGAAUCUCCAUCUUUAAGUUCCAAAAUCCUACAAACAUUGAUUGCAUUGAGGGGGGGGGGGGAAUUCAUUUCUUAGAUCACAUGCUAAGAAGUGACAAAGUCUCCAACAUUCAGUGAAAAACAAAACAAAACAAAAAACAGAAAAAAGACUACACAUCAAAAGUGACAGUGCAAUUGUAAAAAAGGCAGCACAGCAUAGGUUUCACAUAUCUAUCUAAAGGAUAAUGUAGAUGUUUGUCCAAAAUGUACUCGCCACGUUUAGUAACAACCAAAUACAGCAAACCAACCCAACACAAACACCUCAUACCAACUGUAAAGCACAGUGGUGGAGAGGUGAUGAUUUGGGCUUCUUUUACAGUGACAGAACCUGGACACCUUGCAAUCACUGUCGAGUUGACUGUAAACUCCUCUGUGUACCAAAUCGUUCUGGGGUCAAAAGAGAGGUCUGACAGCUAAAGCUUGUGCCAGACUGAGUCGUGAUAGAACAGGAGUGGCCAAAUCCAGGCCUCAAGAGCCGGUGUCCUGCAGGUUUUAGAUGUGUGCUUGAUCCAUCACAGCUGAUUUAAAUGGCUAAAUUACCUCCUCAACAUUUCAAGUUCUCCAGAGGCCUGGAACUAAUCAUUUGAUUCAGGUGUGUUGACU